RNAcentral lists this long non-coding RNA (1504 nucleotides) under Chrysemys picta bellii (western painted turtle). RNAcentral describes it as "lncRNA (ENSCPBG00000006038.1)". The record is from RNAcentral. Lineage: Eukaryota; Metazoa; Chordata; Testudines; Emydidae.
UGGUUACAAACCCUGCCUUCCUCCCCUCCCUCCCCCCUCCGGAGGCUGUGUAUCUGUCUCACAUUCACAUCCCAGCCUGUCACUAGCACAUCCGAAGGCGAGCAUGGCGCAAAGGGGGCCACUCGUGUCUCCAACAGGGACCCUCCCCAGGACAGCCCCUAGCCUGGCGCUGCUGCUGCUGCUCGGUGCCUGCUGGGCUGCGCGCCCCUCGGAGCAGUGGGGCGGCCAGAGCUCCAGCUGGGUGACCCGGGCAAGAAGGAACCCGCGGGAGCUGCUGUUCCGCGGCGGAGGCGGCGGCCGGGAGGAGGCUAGUGCGCUGGGGCGCGCUGGCGAAGGCGUGGGGGCUGCUGCGGGGAGUCGCUCCAGGAGAGCAUCCUCCACCUCCUCCCGCCCAGCCAGGGAGCAGGUCUCUCUGAUCAGCACCUCCUUCGUGCUCAAAGGGGACGCGUCUCACAACCAGGCGAUGGUGCACUGGACGGGCGAGAACAGCAGUAUGAUGGGUAUAUAUUUGUACAGAUGGUUUCUGGGAUUUGCUGCUUCUGAAUUUAUCCUGCAGUAAGACAUUAUUUCAUAACACUGUGUAACAUAGGUAAAUAUUACACAGCACCAGGCAUUGUGUAAUGUCUAUAUAACUACAUAGGCAGUGAAAUCUUGUUAUGAAAAAUCUAGAAUGAUUUUCUCCUCAAGAUUUUAGUAUUUCUGGAAAAUCACUGCUUUAUUUUAUGGUAGAUCAGCUGAGAUCCUGGCCUUUGUUUGAACUUGAGCUUUGCAAAUUAUGCAUAGUGUUCGUUAAACUUGACACAGUUCAGAAAGCAUGUGUUGUAUUUCCCAUAAAUGUAUGGAUUAACAUCUUCCCCUUUGGGUUGUCAAAUCCACUUUCUGCCAGCUCUGCUAGUGGGUCACACAAGAACAAGAGCUGUCCAGUGAGCAGGCUGGCUGCUUGUGUUAAUGCUUAUUAUAUAAUCUGGUAUUUUCAUGUGUCCGAGUUGGAGUUAGCAUCACAAAGCUUGACACCCAGUUUCUGAUGUACUUAGGAGGGAAAUGUGCAGAUAGCCAUUUUCUUUUCAUAGAAAGUAUUGCAAAUCAUCAGCAGCAUCUAUUUCUCUAGACUUGUCCUUUCCCUGUUUCUGCUUUCAAAAUAAUCCCAUUUCUUUUCAUGGUCAGUGCUUGCAGGCUUUUAGGGCUAUUUUUCUUUCUUGAAGAGAUCACUAUUAAAAAAGUUGGCUCCAGUUCAGAUUUCUACAUACAAAAAAUGUAACAGCUUUCAUGCAAAGUACUCUUGUGCUCUAAAACAAAUACCUUGCUAAUCCACACACUACAAUCCGCACUUAAAACGAGUGGUCUCUCCCCAUCUCUCUGCAAAGAUUUAAUAGCAGAUGCUGCAGUGUUAGCUUGUAUUGCUAAGAUUUCAUUAUUUUUUCAUGAUAUUCUACAACGUGUAUACGAGUAUGUGAUGAAGUAGUUUCCUCAGUAGCAAAAAUACAUUACACUGUCAGAAUGGAAU